AGCCGCGGUAAUACGGAGGGUGCGAGCGUUAAUCGGAAUUACUGGGCGUAAAGCGCAUGCAGGUGGUUUGUUAAGUCAGAUGUGAAAGCCCGGGGCUCAACCUCGGAAUUGCAUUUGAAACUGGCAGGCUAGAGUACUGUAGAGGGGGGUAGAAUUUCAGGUGUAGCGGUGAAAUGCGUAGAGAUCUGAAGGAAUACCGGUGGCGAAGGCGGCCCCCUGGACAGAUACUGACACUCAGAUGCGAAAGCGUGGGG
RNAcentral lists this ribosomal RNA (254 nucleotides) under Vibrio parahaemolyticus. RNAcentral's name for it is "partial 16S ribosomal RNA". It matches the Rfam family "Bacterial small subunit ribosomal RNA", at positions 513 to 766 of the family's 1533-position model. Lineage: Bacteria; Pseudomonadati; Pseudomonadota; Gammaproteobacteria; Vibrionales; Vibrionaceae. The record is from RNAcentral.